ACCCCAUAGACUAUGGACGCUGGAAUGCCCUGUAGUCGAAAGGUCCGCCGCCGUAGGAUGGGUCUGCGGCCGAUUAGGUUGUUGUUGGGGUAACGGCCCAACAAGCCUGUAAUCGGUACGGGUUGUGGGAGCAAGAGCCCGGAGAUGGAUUCUGAGACACGAAUCCAGGCCCUACGGGGCGCAGCAGGCGCGAAAACUUUACAAUGCGGGAAACCGUGAUAAGGGAACUCCGAGUGCCCGUUAAAUCGGGCUGUCCAUCAGUUUAAAUAACUGGUGAAGAAAGGGCCGGGCAAGACCGGUGCCAGCCGCCGCGGUAAUACCGGCGGCUCGAGUGGUGGCCACUAUUACUGGGCUUAAAGCGUUCGUAGCUGGUUUGUUAAGUCUCUGGGGAAAUCUUCCGGCUUAACCGGAAGGCGUCUCAGGGAUACUGGCAGACUAGGGACCGGGAGAGGUGAGGGGUACUCCAGGGGUAGGAGUGAAAUCCUGUAAUCCUUGGGGGACCACCUGUGGCGAAGGCGCCUCACCAGAACGGCUCCGACAGUGAGGGACGAAAGCUGGGGGAGCAAACCGGAUUAGAUACCCGGGUAGUCCCAGCUGUAAACGAUGCGCGUUAGGUGUAUCAGCGACCACGAGUCGCUGAGGUGCCGAAGAGAAAUCGUGAAACGUGCCGCC
This 672-nucleotide ribosomal RNA is filed under the name uncultured archaeon. RNAcentral describes it as "bacterial SSU rRNA". It matches the Rfam family "Archaeal small subunit ribosomal RNA", at positions 151 to 828 of the family's 1478-position model. The record is from RNAcentral.